Molecule: long non-coding RNA, 723 nt
Organism: Mus musculus (house mouse)
Lineage: Eukaryota; Metazoa; Chordata; Mammalia; Rodentia; Muridae
Product: predicted gene 10510
Exons: 3
Source: RefSeq, marked validated
GAGGGGACAUGGGAAGGGAAAAAAUGAAAGCUAGUGACAUCUGGUUGGCGUUGACUUUUUUGAGAGAAGUGAUUCUCCUGGUAAGGAGGCUGUCAUUUCACAGAAGUACUCUUGAGGAUAGCUGCAGUCAAGAGUCUGCCCACAGCAAACAGGAGAUGGACAACAGCUUUAAUAGCCUCUGGUACUGACGAAAGGGUUCCCUGCCGACAAUGGUGUUGAGGAGUCUGUUCCUGGCUUAUUCUUCUAGGCCAGUGUCCUCCACUGCUGCUGCUGGCUGAUCUGAUGUACUAAUUCAUCUCCUAUCCUGAAAUUAUGGAUAACUCCCUGCUUCUGACCUGUGUGUGUGUCGCAUGAGUUUGGGCUCUGGGCCUCCACCCUCCACAGCUGGGUCUCCUCUCAAGAUCUCAGUCUUCUUUGUGAGUGCCAUGUUUCUUCAGGCUCUCUCUUGAGUCUGUUUUAGAACAUUCACAUCCUUUGAGUGGUUUCUUUGGGAGAAGCACAAGAAGAUGUCCCCCGGGGCUCAGGGUUUUCACAAACUCUAGUUCAAAACCUACCAGAACACUGGCCUUGCUAGUCUGUGGUGUUCUCGGAAGGAGGUUAAGUCAGUGAAUGAAGAAGAGUCCUUGGUGGCCCAUAUGACCUCAGCAGACGGAUCCUGAGUCCUGCACGGCUCUCCUGAGUUGCUCACCUUGGCUUGCCUGCUUCCUUGGCUGACCUCUACAC